GGAAUAUUGCACAAUGGGGGAAACCCUGAUGCAGCCAUGCCGCGUGUGUGAAGAAGGCCUUCGGGUUGUAAAGCACUUUCAGUAGGGAGGAAAGGGUGAGUCUUAAUACGGCUCAUCUGUGACGUUACCUACAGAAGAAGGACCGGCUAACUCCGUGCCAGCAGCCGCGGUAAUACGGAGGGUCCGAGCGUUAAUCGGAAUUACUGGGCGUAAAGCGUGCGCAGGCGGUUUGUUAAGCGAGAUGUGAAAGCCCUGGGCUCAACCUAGGAAUAGCAUUUCGAACUGGCGAACUAGAGUCUUGUAGAGGGGGGUAGAAUUCCAGGUGUAGCGGUGAAAUGCGUAGAGAUCUGGAGGAAUACCGGUGGCGAAGGCGGCCCCCUGGACAAAGACUGACGCUCAUGCACGAAAGCGUGGGGAGCAAACAGGAUUAGAUACCCGGG
This 440-nucleotide ribosomal RNA is filed under the name uncultured Shewanella sp. RNAcentral's name for it is "bacterial SSU rRNA". It matches the Rfam family "Bacterial small subunit ribosomal RNA", at positions 358 to 790 of the family's 1533-position model. The record is from RNAcentral. Lineage: Bacteria; Pseudomonadati; Pseudomonadota; Gammaproteobacteria; Alteromonadales; Shewanellaceae.